Molecule: RNA transcript, 12731 nt
Organism: Gorilla gorilla gorilla (western lowland gorilla)
Lineage: Eukaryota; Metazoa; Chordata; Mammalia; Primates; Hominidae
Gene: ZNF221
Gene name: zinc finger protein 221
Exons: 7
Source: RefSeq, a predicted model, not a curated record
GUGGAGUCGCGGGAGCUGCGGCUGCGGAGUUACCCUUUAUUCUGUGAUAGUUUGAGCUGUUCUGCGUCUCGCAGGCCCUUCCGAAUUUCCUGGACCUACUCUCGGAACCCUCAACGAGCUAGCGAUAGAUUUAGAGGAAAGGAAGCACCGUCGGAAAGCAAAGGUCUUCGCCAGAUCAACCAGAAAAAUAGAGAAAUUGCUAUCCCACUGACAUUGAGUAUGAGCACACAGUUGCGAAGGCAUGAUUUCACCUUCACUUGAACUCCUUCAUUCAGGACUCUGCAAAUUCCCUGAAGGAGAAGGAAAAAUGACCACAUUCAAAGAGGCAGUGACAUUCAAGGAUGUGGCUGUGGUCUUCACUGAGGAGGAGCUGGGGCUGCUGGACCCUGCCCAGAGGAAGCUGUACCGAGAUGUGAUGCUAGAGAACUUCAGGAACCUGCUCUCAGUAGGGAAUCAACCAUUCCACCAAGAUACUUUCCACUUCUUAAGGAAGGAAAAGUUUUGGAUGAUGAAGACAACAAGCCAAAGAGAAGGGAAUUCAGGAGGCAAGAUCCAAAUUGAGAUGGAGACUGUUCCAGAAGCAGGACCACAUGAAGAGUGGUCCUGUCAGCAAAUAUGGGAACAAAUUGCAAGUGACCUAACCAGGUCUCAAAACUCCAUAAGGAACAGCUCUCAGUUCUUCAAAGAAGGUGAUGUCCCCUGCCAGAUUGAGGCAGGACUAUCUAUAAGUCACGUGCAACAGAAACCUUACCAGUGUAAUGAAUGUAAACAGUCCUUCAGUGAUGUUUCUGUCUUUGAUCUUCAUCAACAAUCACACUCAGGAGAGAAAUCUCAUACAUGUGGUGAGUGUGGAAAAAGCUUCUGUUACAUCUCAGCCCUUCAUAUUCAUCAGAGAGUCCAUAUGGGAGAAAAAUGCUAUACGUGUGAUGUGUGUGGUAAGGAAUUUAAUCAGAGCUCACAUCUGCAAACUCAUCAGAGAGUCCAUACUGGAGAGAAACCAUUCAAAUGUGGGCAAUGUGGGAAAGGCUUCCAUAGUAGAUCAGCACUUAAUGUUCAUUGCAAAUUGCACACAGGAGAGAAACCUUAUAAUUGUGAGGAAUGUGGGAAAGCCUUCAUUCACGAUUCACAGCUUCAGGAACAUCAGAGAAUCCAUACUGGGGAGAAGCCAUUCAAAUGUGAUAUAUGUGGUAAGAGCUUCCGUGUUAGAUCAAGACUUAAUAGGCAUUCCAUGGUUCACACAGGAGAAAAACCAUUCAGAUGUGAUACGUGUGGCAAGAACUUUCGUCAGAGAUCAGCACUUAAUAGUCAUUCCAUGGUCCACAUAGAAGAGAAGCCAUACAAAUGUGAGCAAUGUGGAAAAGGCUUCAUUUGUAGGCGAGAUUUUUGUAAGCAUCAGAUGGUCCACACAGGAGAGAAACCAUAUAACUGUAAAGAAUGUGGGAAGACCUUCAGAUGGUCCUCAUGUCUUUUGAACCAUCGGCGAGUCCACAGUGGACAAAAACCCUUCAAAUGUGAAGAAUGUGGGAAGGGAUUUUAUACAAAUUCACGACGAUCUUCCCAUCAGAGAUCCCACAAUGGAGAAAAGCCAUAUAACUGUGAGGAGUGUGGUAAGGACUAUAAAAGGAGGUUGGAUCUUGAGUUUCACCAGAGGGUCCACACGGGUGAGAGACCCUAUAAUUGUAAGGAAUGUGGCAAGAGCUUUGGCUGGGCCUCCUGUCUUUUGAAACAUCAGAGACUCCACAGUGGGGAAAAACCUUUCAAAUGUGAAGAGUGUGGAAAGAGAUUUACUCAGAGUUCACAACUUCAUUCCCAUCAGACAUGCCAUACUGGAGAAAAGCUAUACAAAUGUGAGCAGUGUGAGAAGGGGUACAACAGUAAAUUUAAUCUUGACAUGCACCAGAGGGUCCACAGGGGAGAGCGACCCUAUAAUUGUAAGGAAUGUGGAAAGAGCUUUGGCUGGGCUUCAUGUCUUUUGAAACAUCAGAGACUCCACAGUGGAGAAAAGCAAUUGAAAUCUGGAGUGUGGGAAGAGAUCUACUCAGAAUUCACAGCUUCAUUUACAUCAGUAAGUCUAUGUGGGAGAAAUGCCAUAUAAAUGUGAGAAGUGUGGGAAGGGCUUUGGCUGGGCCUCAACUCAUCUGACCCGUCGAUUCUCCAUAGCAGAGAAAAACCAUUCAAAUAUGAGAACUACGGGAAGAGCUUUGUACAUAGAUCAUAUCUUUUUUUUUUUUUUUUUGAGACAGAGUCUCACUCUUUUGCCCAGGCCUGACUGCAGUGGCGCUAUCUCAGCUCACUGCAAGCUCCGCCUCCCGGGUUCACGCCAUUCUCCUGCCUCAGCCUCCCGAGUAGCUGGGACUACAGGUGCCCGCCACCGCACCCAGCUAAUUUUUUGUAUUUUUAGUAGAGACGGGGUUUCACCGUGUUAGCCAGGAUGGUCUCGAUCUCCUGACCUCGUGAUCCGCCCGCCUUGGCCUCCCAAAGUGCUGGGAUUACAGGUGUGAGCCACCAUGCCUGGCCAUAGAUCACAUCUUAAAGACCAAGAAAAAAGUCCACAGUGGAGAUAAUCCGUACACAUGUGAGGAGUGUGGGAUGUACUACAACAGGCACUUGACUUGAUAUGAAUCAGAGGGUCCAUAUGGCAGAGAAACCACGGAAGUUUGGGGAGAUUGCCAUGUGCUUCAGUUAUGCCUCAAAGUCUUCAACUUCAUCGGAGUGUUCACUUACAAGAGAAACCUUAGUAAGGUGAUAUCUGUGAUAGUCUUCUCAACUACAAGCUCAUCUGAGAGUUCACAAUGGGAGAAGCAUUAAAAAUUUGAUACAUGUGAAAAUGAAGAAAAGUAGGGUGGAGUUAUGGCCCACCUGGUGUGGCAUGGAGCCAAAGGAAACCUCACCCCCACCCAAGGGAAGCGGUGAGUGAUUGUGUGACCCUGUGCAGGAAACCAUGCUACUCAAGGAUCUUUGCAACCCACGGGUAAGGAGAUCUCCUUGUGAGCCCAUGCCACCAGGGCCUUGGGUUUGAUACACAGAGCUGUGUGGAGUUUUGGCAGAGCAGCCUCUCAGGCACACACACAGACCCAGGAGGUUUACAUGCUCUAGCCCCAGAAUUCCUGGCAAGGUGGCAGAUUCAUCCUUAUAUUCCCCUAGGAAGGGGGCUGAAUCCAGGGAGCGAGGCAGCAACAUUCUGUGGGCCCCACUUCCAUGGCACCUUACAAAACCCACUGGCUUGGAAUUUCAACCAAGCAACAGCAACAGGCUUCAGCCUGAAAUAGGAGGGAGCUCCUUUGGGGAAGGCUGGCCACCAUUUCUGUGGUUCAGUCUACUCAGCAUUCCAGCCUGCCGGCUCUGGAGAGACCAGGUUGUCUGGACAAGGAGAGGAUCCCCCUGCCCAACACAGAACACCUGCUUUGCCAGAUCAUGCCGAGACUGCUGCUUUUUUUUUUUUGAGACGGAGUCUCACUCUGUUGCUCAGACUGGAGUGCAGUGGCAUGCUCUUGGCUCAUGGCAACCUCCACCUCUUGGGUUCAAGCAAUUCUCCUGCCUCAGCAUCCCAAGUAGCUGGGAUUACAGGCAGGUACCACCACACCUGGCUAAUUUUUGUAUUUUUCAUAGAGACAGGGUUUCACCGUGUUGGCCAGGCUGGUCUUGAACUCCUGACCGCAGGUGAUCCGCCUGCCUCAGCCUUCCAAAGUGCUGGGAUUACAGGCAUGAGCCACUGCACCUGGCCCAAACUGCUUCUUUAAGCAGGACCCUGAUCCAUUCCUCCCCACUGUGUGGGUUCUCCCUGUGGGGAGUCUUCAGUCACUCCAGCCAGGCUUAUACUGACAGAAAUCUAAUCUCUACCUCAGAUGGAGCUCCCAGGGGAGUGGCGACCACUAUCUCUAUGGUUCGGUUGACAAAGCUGUUCCAGCCUGCUGGCUUUGGAGAGUCUGGGCAAUCUGGGUGAGGAAGGGUCCUUCCCCAGUGCAGCACACCUGCUGUACCAAAAGCAGCCGGACUGCUUCUGUAAGUAGGUCCCUGAUCCUGUUCCUCCUGACUCAGUGAGACCUCCCAACAGGAGUCUCUAGACACCUCCUACAGGAGUCUUCAGGCCAGAAACUGGUCAGUAUCCCCCUGGGACAGAGCUUCCAAAGGAAGGAGAAGGCUGCCAUCUUUGCUGUUUUGCAGCUUUCACUGGUGACACCGCCAGGUACAGGAAAAACGGAGGCAACUAGGGUCUCGAGCAGACCCCAGCAAACUGUGGCAGCCCUACAGUUGCUAACAGUCAGUGGCUUGACUGUUAAAAGAAAAACAGGCAGAAAACAACAAGAACAUCAACAAAAAGACCCCACAAAAACCCCAUUCAAGGGUCAGCAACCUCAAGAUUGAAGGUAGGUAAGCCCACAGAUAUGAUAAAAGUCAACACAAAAAAAUGCUGAAAACUCAAAAAGCCAGAGUGCCUCUUCUCCAAAUGACUACAGCACCUCUCUAGCAAGGGUACAGAACUGGGCUGAGGCUGAGAUGGCUGAAUUGACAGAAGUAGGCCUCAGAAAGUGGGUAAUGAACUUUGCUGAGCUAAAGGAGCAUGGCAUAACCCAAUGCAAAGAAGCUAAGAAUCAUGAUAAAACAAUACAGGAGCUGAUGACUAGAAUAGCCAGUUUAGAGAGGAACAUAACUGACUUGAUGGAGCUGAAAAACACAAGAACUUAAUGCAAUCACAAGUAUCAAUUGUAGAAUAGACCAAGAGGAGGAAAGAGACUCAGAGCUUGAAGACUAUCUUUCUGAAAUAAGACAGGCAGAGAAGAAUAGAGAAAGAAUGAAGAGUAAUGAACAAAACCUCUGAAAAAAAAUAUGGAGUUAUGUAAAAAGACUGAACCUAUGACUGAUUGCAGAACCUGAAACAGAUGGGGAGAAUGGAAACAAGUUGGAAACAUACUUUAGGAUGUUAUCCAGGAGAACUUUCCAAACCUAGCAUGACAGGCUAAUAUUCAAAUUCAGGAAAUGCAGAGAACCCCAGUAAGAUACUCCAUGAGAAGAUCAACCCCAAGACACAUAAUCAUCAGAUUCUCCAAGGUCAAAAUUAAAAAAUAUAAAGGGCAGUCAGAGAGAAUGAAAGGUCAGGUCCCCUACAAAGGGAAGCCCAUCAGACUAAUAGCAGACAUCUCAGUGGAAACCCUACAAGCCAGAAGAUAUUGGGGGUCAAUAUUCAGCAUUCUUAAAGAAUUCUUUGCCAGAAUUUAAUAUCUGGCCAAAGUAAGCUUUAUGUGCAAAGAAAUAAGAUCCUUUUCAGACAAGGAAAUGCUGAGAGAAUUCAUCACCACCAGGCCUUCCUUGCAAGAGUUCCUGAAGGAAGCACUAAAUAUGGAAAGAAAAAAACUAUUACCAGCCACUACAAAAACACACUGAAGUACAUAGACCAAUGACACUAUAAAGCAACCACAUAAACAAGUCUGCAAAAUAACCAGCUAGCAUCAUGAUGGCAGGAUCAAAUUCACACAUAACAAUACUAAUAUCAAAUCUAAAUAGGCUAAAUGCCCCAAUUGAAAGAGAAGUGCAAGCUGGAUAAACAGCCAAGACCGAUUGAUAUGCCAUGUUUAAGAGACCCAUCACACGUGCAAAGACACACAUAGGCUCAAAAUAAAGGGAUGGAGGAAAAUCUACCAAGAAAAUGGAAAUCAGAAAAAAGCAGGAGUCACAAUCCUAGUUUUUGACAAAACAGACUUUAAACCAACAAAGAUAUAAAAAAAAAAAAGACAAAGCAAGGCAUUACAUAACGGCAAAGGGUUCAACAAGAAGAGCUAACUAUUCUAAGCACAUAUACGCACCCAAUAGCAGAGGACCCAGAUUCAUAAAGUAAGUUCUUAGAGACCUACAAAGAGACUUAGACUCCCACACAGUAAUAGUGGGAGACUUUAACACUCCAUUGACAAUAUUAGCUCAUUGAGAUAAAAAAUUAACAAAGAUGUUGAGGACCUUAACUCAGCUCUGGAUUAAGCAGACCUGAUAGAUAUCUGCAGAACUCUCCACUCCAAGACAACAGAAUAUACAUUUUUCUCAUCAUCACAUGGCACUUAAAAAUUGAUCACAUAAUCGGAAGUAAACACUCCUCAGCAAAUGCAAAAUAACUGAAAUCAUAACAGUCUCUCAGACCAUAGCACAAUCAAAUUGAACUCAAGAUUAAGAAAUUCACCCAAAAAAUUAAAAUAAAAAUGAAAUUAACUCAGAACCACACAACUAUGUGGAAAUUGAAUAACCUGCUUGUGAAUGACUCCUGGGUAAAUACUGAAAUUAAGGCAUAAAUCAAGAAAUUAUUUGAAACUAAUAAGAAUAAAGACACAAUGUACCAGAAUCUCUGGGAUGCAGCUAAAGAAGUGUUAAGACAGAAAUUAAUAGCACUAAAUGCCCACAUCAAAAAGCUAGAAAGAUCUCAAGUUAACAACAUCACAACUAAAAUAGAGAACCAAAAACAAACCCCAAAGCUAGCAGAAUACAGGAAAUAAGAUCAGAGCAGAACUCAAGGAGACAGAGACACAAAAAAUCUUUCAAAAAUUAACAAAUCCAGGAGCUGGUUUUUUGAAAAAAAUUAAUAGACUGCUAACUAGACUAAUAAAUAAGAAAAGAGAGAAGAAUCCAACACAAUCAGAAAUGAUAAAGGGGAUGUCACCACUGACCCCACAGAAAUACAAGCAACCAUCAGAGAAUAUUAUAAACACCUCUCUGCACAUAAACUAGAAAAUCUAGAAAAAGAGAAUAAAUUUCUGGAAACAUACACCCUUCUAAGGCUGAACCUGGAAGAAAUUGAAUCCCUGAAUAGACCAAUAACGACUUCUGAAAUUGAGGCAGUAAUAGUCUACCAAAAAAAAAAAAAAAGCCCAGGACCAGACAAAUUUACAGCUGAAUUCUACCAGAGGUACAAAAAAGAGCUGGUACCAUUUCUACUGAAACUAUUCCAAACAAUUGAAAAGAAGGGAUUCCUCCUUAAUUCUUUUUAUGAGGCUAGCAUCAUCCUGAUACCAAAACCUGGCAGAGAUAAAACAAAAAAAGAAAACUUCAGGCCAGUAUCCCUGAUGACUAUCAAUGCAAAAAUCCUCAACAAAAUACUGGUAAACUGAAUCCAGCAGCACAUCAAAAAGCUUAUCCACCACAAUCAAGUUGGCUUCAUCCCCAGGAUGCAAGGUUGGUUCAACAUAUGCAAAUCAAUAAAUGUGAUCACAUAAUGAGAACCAAAGACAAAAAUCACAUGAUUAUCUCAAUAGAUGCAGAAAAGGCCUUUGAUAAAAUUCAACAUCCCUUCAUGCUAAAAGCUGUCUGUAAACUAGGUACUGAAGGAACAUACCUCAAAAUAAUAAGAGCCAUAGAUUACAAACCCACAGCCAAUAUCCUACUGAGUGGGUAAAAGUUGUAAUCAUUCCCCUUGAAAACUGGCACAAGACAAGGACCAGCCCCCGCCCUUUCCCCACUCCUAUUCAACACAGUAUUGGAAGUUCUGGCCAGUCAAGUCAGACAAGUGAAAGAAAUAAAGCAUAUUCAAAUAGAGAGGAAGUCACAGUAUCUUUGUUUGCAGAUGACAUGAUCCUAUAUCUAGAAAACCCCAUCAUCUCAGCCCAAAAGCUUUUUAAGCUGAUAAGCAACUUCAGCAAAGUCUCAGGAUACAAAAUCAAUGUGCAAAAUCGCUAGUAUUCCUAUAAACCAACAACAGGCAAGCAGAGAACCGAAUCAUGAAUGAACUCGCAUUCACAAUUGCUACAAAAAGAAUAAGUUAUCUGGGAAUACAGCUAACAAGGGAAGCGAAGGACCCCUUCAAGGAGAACUACAAAUCACUGCUCAAAGAAAUCAGAGAGGACACAAAUGGAAAAACAUUUCAUGCUCAUGGAUAGGAAGAAUCAAUAUUGUGAAAUGGCCAUACUGCCCGAAGUAAUUUAUAGAUUCAAUGCUAUUCCCAUUAAGCUACCGUUGACAUUCUUCACAGAAUUAGAGAAAAAAAAACCUAUUUUAAAAUUCAUUUGGAACCAAAGAAUAGCCCAAAUAGCCAAGACAAUUCUAAGCAAAAAAGAACAAAGCUGGAGGCAUCAUGCAACCCAACUUCAAACUAUACUCCAAGGCUACAGUAACGAAAACAGCAUAGUACUGGAACAAAAACAGACACAUAGACAAAUGGAACAGAAUAGAGAACUCAGAAAUAAGACCACACACCUACAACCAUCUGAUAUUCAACAAACCUGACAAAAACAAGCAAUGGGGAAAUGAUUCCCUAUAUAAUAAACGGUGCUGGGAGAACUGGCUAGCCAUGCACAGAAAAUUGAAACUGGACCCCUUCCUUCCUUACACAUUAUACAAAAAUUAAGAUGGAUUAAAAACUUAUGAAACCCAAAACUAUAAAAACUCCAGAAGAAAAUCUAGGUGAUACCAUCCAGGACAUAGGGACAGGCAAAGAUUUCACGAUGAAAACACCAAAAGCAAUUGCAACAAAAGCAAAAUUUGACAAAUGGGAUCUAAUUAAACUAAAGAGCUUCUGCACACCAAAAGAAACUAUUAUCAGGGUGAACAGACAACCUACAUAAUGGGAGAAAAUCUUUGCAAUCUGUCCAUCUGACAAAGGUCUAAUAUCCAGAGCCUACAAGGAACUUAAACAAAUUUACGAGAAAAAAAAACAUUAAAAAGUGGGCAAAAGACAUCAACAAGCAUUUCUCAAAAGAAGACGUACAUGCAGCUGACAAACAUGAAAAAAAGCUCAACAUCACUAUCAUUAGAUAAAUGCAAAUCAAAACCACAAUGAGAUACUGUCUCACAUCAGUCACAAUGGCAAUUAUAAAAAAGUAAAAAAGAAGCCAUUUGCAGCAGCUCAAAGUGCUGUAAUCCCAAACCUUUGGGAGGCUGAGGUGGGUGGAUCACUUGAGGUCAGAAGUUGGAGACCAGCCUGGCCAACAUGGCGAAACGAACCCCUGUCUCUACUAAAAAUACAAAAAAUUAGCUGGAUGUGGUGGUGCAUGCCUAUAAUCCCAGCUACCUGGGAGGCUGAGGCAUGAGAAUUGGUUGAACCCAGGAGGCAGAGGUUGCAGUGAGUCAAGGUCAUGCCACUGCACUUCAGCCUGGGCAACAGUGAAACUGUGUCUCAAAAAAAAAAAAAAAGUCAAAAAGCAACAGUUGUUGGUGAAGUUGGGGAGAAAAAGGAAUGCUUUUACAUUGUUAGUGGGAGUAUAAAUUAGUUGAAUCAUUGUGGAAGACAGUGUGGCAAUUCCUCAAAGAUUUAGAGGCAGAAAUACCAUUUCACCUAGCAAUCCCAUUACUGUAAUAUAUACCUCCAAAUUAUAAAUCAUUCUAUUAGAAAGAUACAUGCAGUUGUAUGUUCACUGCAGCACUAUUCAAAAUAACAAAGACAUGGACUCAACCCAAAUGCCCAUCAAUGAUAGACUGGAUAAAGAAAAUGUCAUACAUAUAGACCAUGGAAUACUAUGCAAACAUAAAAAGAAAUUAGAUCAUCCAGGACAUGGAUGGAGCUAGAAGCCGUUAUCCUCAGCAAACUAACACAGGAACAGAAAACCAAACACUGCAUGUUCUCACUUAUAAGUGGGAGCUGAAUGAUGAGAACAUAUGGACACAUGGUGGGAAACAACACACACUGGGGCCUCUUGGAGGGGUGGAGGGAGGGAGAGCAUCAGGCAGAAUAGCUAAUGGAUGCUGUGCUUAAUACCUAGGUGAUAGAUUGAUCUGUGCAGCAAACCACCAUGGCUCACAUUUACCUAUGUAACAAACCUACACAUCCUGCCCAUGUACCCCUGAACUUAAAAGUUGAAGAAAAAAAUAAAUCAUAGUAUUAAAAAGGAGAAAUCUUGCAAGAAAUAAUUUAUGGAAACAUGAGUUGAAAUGCAGGGUACACUCAGCACUGCAAUGUAGACCUUUAUUUUGAUUAUUAUCUUAUCCACUUGGCUCCUGGCUUCUCCUCAUCCUCUGUUCUCAAGUCGGAUUCUUAUUAUUUGGGACUCUGUCUAGUGUUCCCUUGAUUGUAUACAGCAUAAAUUUAACAAUAAUUUGUCAUUUUUCUCACAAUAUGAGGUGAAAAGAUUUUGUAAUAACAGACCACUGCAUAUUGUACAAGUUUUUUCAACAGUUUUAAGGCAGGAUUCACAGUAAACACUUUUUUCUUUUAAAAAAUUAUUUUUAAGGAAUAGAGACAGUCUCACCAUGUUGCUUGGCUGGUCUUGAACUUCUAGGCUCAGGCAAUCCUCCUACCUCAGCCUCCCAAAAUGCUGGAAUUAUAGGCAUGAGCCACCACACCCAGCCCACAGUAACAUUUCUAACGUGGCAGAUGUAGUUACAUUGACAAAAAUUUUUCUAGUAAAGGCCAGGUGUGGUGGCUCACUCCUGUAAUCCCAGCACUUUGGGAGGCUGAGGCAGGUGGAUCACUUGAGGCCAUGGGUUCGAGAUCAGCCUGGUCAACAUGGCGAAACCCCGUCUCUACUAAAAAUACAAAAAUUAGCUGGUGUGGUGGUGUGUGCCUGUAAUCCCAGCUACCUGAGAGGCUGAGGCAUGAGAAUCGCUUGAGCCUGGGAGGCGGAGGUUGCAGUGAGCUGAGAUUGUGCCACUGUACUCCAGCCUGGGCAACAGAGCGAGACUUCAUCUAAAAAAAAAAAUUCCUAAUAAGUUUUGAAUUGAUCAUGAUUUGUGAUUCUGCAUUUCUGUGCAGGCUUUAAUAUGAUUGCCUUCUAAUUGCUGUAGUUAUUUCUUUUAUCAGACUUCUCAGGUAGAAGCUUUGCCAAAUUUGAAGGAAAAUGUUUGGCAACCUCAGUAUUUCUUCCCAUCUCCAUGAACUACCAAGAAAAUGUGUUGGAGUUUGGUGAUUUCAUCAUACAUAUUCAUUAUUGGAGCAAGAGUAACCUUUACAUACUCUUCUUUAUUGUUGGCCAUAAGAAUAUGUUUUUUGGAAAGUGGUAUAUGGCAGUAUGUAUAAGGUACAACUGUUCAACCUGGAAAUCAUAGGAUAGAAAAUUACAACAUUAAAACUCUGAAAAUUAGUAGAUUACAUGGAUGAUGUCACUUCAUUUUAAAAUGGAAAGAACAAGUGUUCAACCACAGGAAUUUGUAUGAAGUGCAUUUAUUCAUAUAAAAACACAAAGCCAGUAAAAUGAUGACAUAGAUGUACAAUAAAAAGAGAAGAGCAUGAUGUAUGCCUUAGGGAAAUCCUAUUGUAGCCUUCAUAACAAACUAAGUGUCUUUGUGUUUCUGGGUUUGUUUAUUUGGUUAUUUUUAGUGUGUACAUACAUCAUUUGUGAAUGAAUAUUCUGACAUUUUCCCUGGCAAUGAGUAUUUGCUGGAAUUUUUCAUUUUAUAAUUUUAUGCAUUUUAAAUUUCUCAUUGAACACCAACUUUACCAAAGCAGUUAUGUGAUGAAAAAUUUGAAAAAUUAUUAAUAUUAAUCACUUACCUAUAAGGACUCUGAAUAAGAUUGCUCUACAUUGUCAUAUGACAGUUCAAAAUUAAGGAAUAGGGAUAUGGAAGUCAUAUUUCAAAAUAAAAAAAUGUAUCUGGUCACCUGGAUAUACAGAUUGAUGAGUGUGGUCAACUGCCUUCAUAACUAAUGUGUGUGAUUCUGCUUUAGGCAUAAGUCAGGAAGCAAGCAAAUCCUAGUGACAGAAAUAAUGUGGGUAUAUAUAGUUGUGGAGGUUAAAAAAACAGAUUCUUUGAAGAACAAAUGCGCAUGAUCAGGGAACUUAACAUGACAGCAGCAGUCUCUUAGUGUGUGGAACCAGCUUGGACAAAGAGCUGAUUUGGGUGCUAAUUCAUAGUUAUACACCAUGGUGUAACUUAACUGUAUUAGGUUAAAAGGCAUUCUUCAAAGUGUCUAGUUGAGAUACGUAAGCUUUUCAUAAUUAAUUUUCUAAAUAAUAUAUUUUCAUGAUGCUAUAUUCAUGCUGUGCCAGUUUGGAUAGUAGAUUGGAGGUCCCUAAGACCACCUCUGGGUUCUGUGAUUUACUAAAAUAACUGAGAGUAUAGUUGUACUUAUAACAAUAUUACAGUGACAAGAUACAAAACAGAAUCUGUAAAGGGAAAUGGCUCAUGGGCAGUUGUCUAGAGGAAACCAGAAGCAAGCUUACCAGAGUCCUCUCUGCAUGGUGUUACAUAAGACUCAACUCCUCUAGCAUUGAAUUGUGAUACUACUUGUGAAAUGUCUACAAUGGAAGCUCAUUAGCAACCAGCAGCACAGGUUCUUAUUGAGAUUGAUUAUGUAGGUAUGUGUCUAGUACAUAUCAAGAUUCCCAACUCUAAGAAGAAGAGCAAGUGUUCCAAAUAAGCUGCAUUGUAGAGUUUAGGUGCAGUGACCACUCCUACCCAUUAUGGAAAGGUGGUAACUCUCUCAAACCCCAUGUUCCUUGACUCCAGCCAAAGGCCAGCGUUGCAAACAGCUCUUUUUAAAGUUAGCAGUCUGACUUAUGCCUGCUAUGUUAACUUUUUGUGCAUGUGGUAUCAGAAAAGUAGGGCCUGCAGUCUUGUGGGGUUUUCUUAAACUAUCACCAGAUAAUAGUUCAUCUCUAAGAUAAUUAUUUGUAAAAGAAAAUUCAUCAGAUUACAUUUUAAAAUAUUUUUAUAAUAAAAAAUACCAUAGGUAGGCCUUCCAUCUACCCUCGUGUGCCUGGGUCCUCAAAUUGGUCACAGGAUGAUAUUAACAGCUGAUUUGUUUUUAUUGUUCAUAUUUAUGUCUCACAGACUGCAUGAGUAUUUGACUCCCAAUAAAACUGAAUAUUGAAUACCUAACUUCA